RNAcentral lists this long non-coding RNA (2190 nucleotides) under Ananas comosus (pineapple). Its description in RNAcentral is "long non-coding RNA (ACOM_LNC003821)". The record is from RNAcentral. Lineage: Eukaryota; Viridiplantae; Streptophyta; Magnoliopsida; Poales; Bromeliaceae.
AAACUUGGCUUCGUUGAAUAAUUGACUUAGACAAUUAAAUGGUUCAGUAUUUUUAUUGUAGUUGAUUAUGCGGGAUUUCAAUUAGUUUUAUGAAUGUAAUAUUGCAUUUGGGAUUUCUAUGAAAUGAAAAUAGUUCUCUACCCCUCGUGGUAGGUGUUUUUAAAAGAAAAGGUUUCCGGGUGGGAAACAGCUUUUAAAAGAGUUUUCUCGUAGUUUUCCUGACUUAGUAUUUCAAAAUAAGUUUCCGGGUAUGAAACAUUUCAACUAAUAGUUGUGGUUUUAUUAUUAGACUCUGAAAGUAAAUCUAUUGGUGAAUGGUGUAUGAAUGUAUAAAUGUUGAAUGUUUGUAUAUUCAGCUGUGGUGGUUGUAUUCCCGUUAUAUACCUUGUACUUGUGCGACGCCGUGCAAAUACAUGGGAGACUCUAUCCGUAUGAACAGUGGACUCCCUAUAUUUGUGACGGAUCUGGCAUACCCUGGGGGUCAGGUUUUCAAAAAAAAAAUUUUGGACACUUCCGCUGUGUUUUUAAACUAAAAAGAGACCCCGGAGCGUGACAAUAAGAGAAUAAUAUCGAAAAUAUAUGAAAUUUGAUUUCUAAACACUUCAAAUGGUAUAGAUCAUGUUCAACGGCGCCGAUUGUCGAUUUGGAGGCUCCAUCAUCGAAAACAAAUGGGUGGCAACGGAGCCCGUUUGCUACCGAUAGUAUUCUGGCUCAACUCUAUAUAUAUCCCAUUUGUUUUCGAUGAUAGAGCCUCCAAAUCGACGAUUGGCACCAUUGAACAUGAUCUAUACCACUUGAAGUGUUUAGAAAUCAAAUUUUAAAUCUUUUCGACAUCAUUUGCCUAAUGAUCAAAGGGUUUCAAAAUUUGUAAUUUUAAUGGUCGAUAUGAGGAGUUUUCUCAUUUAACAGCGUAAAGAUAUCCAAAUCAAUUAAAUUUUUGUUAGAAAAUUCUUUAAACUAUUUAAAACAAGAUCUAUACUCUUGAUCUUGAUUACAAAACUUCUAUCAUCAUUUUUUAAAGAAUAUUCAUUUUCAGCCGUUCAUUUUUAUGUCAACUCGAUGGAUAAAAGAACAAUAUCGAAAAUGUAUGAAAUUUGAUUUCUAAAUACUUCAAGUGGUAUAGAUCAUGUUCAACGGUGUCAAUCAUCGAUUUGGAGGCUCCAUCAUCGAAAACAAAUGGGUGGCAACGGAGCCCGUUUGCUAUCGAUAGUAUUCUAGCUCAACUCUCUCUCUCUCUCUCUCUAUAUAUAUAUAUAUUGUUUUUAGAUAUAUUAAAAUAUCUUAUUAUUAUUAUUAUUAUUAUUUAAUGUGUUAAUAAUAUUAAUUAAAAUAUCUUAUAAUUAUUAUCAUGAUGAUGAUGAUAAUUACUACUGUAAUAAUUAAUACCAGUGCUACUAUCAUAUUAUAUUAUAUUAUAUCAUAUUAUGUUAUAUACAUCUUUAUUAUUUUUAUAAAUUUAUAUUAUAUGUUAUCUUAUAAUAUAUUAUAUUAUAUAAUAUAAAAUAAAAUGUUAUAUAAUGCUAUAAAUAUAUUUAAUAUAUAAUGUUUUAAAAUAUAGUCUUUAAUUAUUUAUUUAUAUUAUAUGUAAGUAUUUUAAUAUAUUACUAUUGAAGAAUAUUAUAUAAUAUUAUGCGUAAACUUCAAAUACCACCUUGUGAUUUCGUAUUUUCUCAUUUUAAUACCUUAUAGUUUAAAGUAUAUCAUUUUAAUAUACUGUGAUUUUAUUUUCUCUUUCCGUUAGUACUUUCUUUAACUCUCUAUUAAAUCAUAUACAAAAAAUUUUAGAUACCCUACCGAUGGUUUAUCAAAUAUUUAUUUUAAUGCCUUGUGAUUUAAUAAAUUUUCACUUUAGUAUCCUGUAGUUUAACUUUGUUAUUGAUUUAACAAAAAAAUUAAUGUAGAAAAUAACGGAAAAAAAAAAUAAAGCCACAUGAUACUAAAGUGAUACAUUUUAAAUAAUAGGGUACUAAAGUGAGAAAGCAUGAAACAGAGGGAUAUUAUUUGAAGUUUUUUCCUAAUAUUAUUGAAAUGACCGGUGCGCUUUUUCUAUCAGCAUGCGCUUUGGGAUUGCUUGUUAGCGCUUACAAUCUGCCAAUUUUUUGCUAAAAUUUUUUAUUCAUGAAAUCUAAUGACAGAGAAUGAUCUUUCCAGUAUAUCUAUGCUAGCACCAAAAAAAUCACCUCUCGGAGU